UAACCACUCAAGCCUGGCUUGGUGUUGGGGUUCGCCUGUAGGUGGCCCCUAAAACCAGUGGCGGUGCCGUCUGGCUCUAAGCGUAGUAAUUUUUCUCGCUAUAGGGUCCUGGCGGUGUUUGCCAUCAACCCCAAAUUUUAUUAGG
Molecule: unclassified non-coding RNA, 145 nt
Filed under: uncultured Meliniomyces
Lineage: Eukaryota; Fungi; Ascomycota; Leotiomycetes; Helotiales; Helotiaceae
Description: sequence contains ITS2
Source: RNAcentral